AGUAAGCUCUUUUGUCAGGGAAGAAACCCGGCUCUAACACAGUCCGGGAAUGACGGUACCUGAAGAAUAAGCACCGGCUAACUACGUGCCAGCAGCCGCGGUAAUACGUAGGGUGCGAGCGUUAAUCGGAAUUACUGGGCGUAAAGCGUGCGCAGGCGGUUGUACAAGACAGGCGUGAAAUCCCCGGGCUUAACCUGAGAAUGGCGCCUGUGACUGUACGGAUAGAGUGUGUCAGAGGGGGGUAGAAUUCCACGUGUAGCAGUGAAAUGCGUAGAUAUGUGGAGGAAUACCAAUGGCGAAGGCAGACCCCUGGGAUAACACUGACGCUCAUGCACGAAAGCGUGGGGAGCAAACAGGAUUAGAUACCCUGGUAGUCCAAGCCCUAAACGAUGCUGACUAGUUGUACGGGAUUUACAUACUGAGUAACGUAGCUAACGCGUGCAGUCAGCCGACUGAGGAGUACGGUCGCAAGAUUAAACUCAAAGGAAUUG
This 491-nucleotide ribosomal RNA is filed under the name uncultured bacterium. Its description in RNAcentral is "bacterial SSU rRNA". It matches the Rfam family "Bacterial small subunit ribosomal RNA", at positions 424 to 912 of the family's 1533-position model. The record is from RNAcentral.